RNAcentral lists this ribosomal RNA (182 nucleotides) under Sarcocystis hominis. RNAcentral's name for it is "partial 18S ribosomal RNA". It matches the Rfam family "Eukaryotic small subunit ribosomal RNA", at positions 216 to 377 of the family's 1831-position model. Lineage: Eukaryota; Apicomplexa; Conoidasida; Eucoccidiorida; Sarcocystidae. The record is from RNAcentral.
ACAGAACCAACACGCUCCUUUUUGGGGGUGUCAAAGUUAGGUGAUUCAUAGUAACCGAACGGAUCGCAUUAUGAUCAUAUUAUUAUGAUUGGCGAUAGAUCAUUCAAGUUUCUGACCUAUCAGCUUUCGACGGUAGUGUAUUGGACUACCGUGGCAGUGACGGGUAACGGGGAAUUAGGGUU